GUGGGGAAUUUUGGACAAUGGGGGCAACCCUGAUCCAGCCAUGCCGCGUGCGGGAAGAAGGCCUUCGGGUUGUAAACCGCUUUUGUCAGGGAAGAAAUCCUUUGGGUUAAUACCUCGGAGGGAUGACGGUACCUGAAGAAUAAGCACCGGCUAACUACGUGCCAGCAGCCGCGGUAAUACGUAGGGUGCAAGCGUUAAUCGGAAUUACUGGGCGUAAAGCGUGCGCAGGCGGUUUUGUAAGACAGACGUGAAAUCCCCGGGCUCAACCUGGGAAUGGCGUUUGUGACUACAAAGCUGGAGUGCGGCAGAGGGGGAUGGAAUUCCGCGUGUAGCAGUGAAAUGCGUAGAUAUGCGGAGGAACACCGAUGGCGAAGGCAAUCCCCUGGGCCUGCACUGACGCUCAUGCACGAAAGCGUGGGGAGCAAACAGGAUUAGAUACCCUAGUAGUCC
RNAcentral lists this ribosomal RNA (450 nucleotides) under uncultured bacterium. RNAcentral describes it as "partial 16S ribosomal RNA". It matches the Rfam family "Bacterial small subunit ribosomal RNA", at positions 354 to 796 of the family's 1533-position model. The record is from RNAcentral.